This is a long non-coding RNA of Stomoxys calcitrans (stable fly), 553 nucleotides long. RefSeq lists it as uncharacterized. The transcript is spliced from 2 exons. The record is from RefSeq and is a predicted model, not a curated record. Lineage: Eukaryota; Metazoa; Arthropoda; Insecta; Diptera; Muscidae.
AACAUGUCAAAUAUAAUUAAUAAAGUAAAAAUGUCAAAUAUAGUAAAACGUAGAAAUAUGCUUAUCCAAUUUGUCACAAAGUGAAGGAAUAGUUGCCCGUAACAACCAAAUGCAGGCAGCAUUAGGCUUUGCCACGCUGACAAAUGCUUUCAAUUUAUUAUUUAGCAGACCACAUUAACAAGUCUCUUUUAUCUUGAGCAUUUUUCGGUGCACUCUCAAGACGAAAAAUUACUGGGAACACAUUAUAUUUGACGGAUGGAUAAUGAGCCAUAAAAUUUUGAAGAAAAGGAAAAAAAAACAAAAAGAAAAAUGGUUUGGGGUUUGAUGCAAAUCUUUGUUAUUGUUUUCAUGGCGGGCAAAAUAAAUGAAGUGAAGUUUUAUUGUUUUCAUAAAAAAUGAAUAUGGGAUGUACAAAACGAAGAUACCCUACAUAAGGGCUGGGAUGAAUGUUUGCCGCAGCUUCAUGUUUGCUUCAAUGUAAUUUCUUUAUGUGUGGAUUAAGAAAAUAUAAUAACUUAAUCUAGAUAAAUAAACCUUUUCCAACAUGUUUAAA